CCUACGGGAGGCAGCAGUGGGGAAUAUUGGACAAUGGGCGCAAGCCUGAUCCAGCCAUACCGCGUGGGUGAAGAAGGCCUUCGGGUUGUAAAGCCCUUUUGUUGGGAAAGAAAUCCAGCCGGCUAAUACCUGGUUGGGAUGACGGUACCCAAAGAAUAAGCACCGGCUAACUUCGUGCCAGCAGCCGCGGUAAUACGAAGGGUGCAAGCGUUACUCGGAAUUACUGGGCGUAAAGCGUGCGUAGGUGGUUAUUUAAGUCCGUUGUGAAAGCCCUGGGCUCAACCUGGGAACUGCAGUGGAUACUGGAUGACUAGAAUGUGGUAGAGGGUAGCGGAAUUCCUGGUGUAGCAGUGAAAUGCGUAGAGAUCAGGAGGAACAUCCAUGGCGAAGGCAGCUACCUGGACCAACAUUGACACUGAGGCACGAAAGCGUGGGGAGCAAACAGGAUUAGAUACCCUGGUAGUCCACGCCCUAAACGAUGCGAACAGAUGUGGUGNAUUGUCGCGCAGUAUCGAGACGACGACGUAGUUCGUCCGCCGNGGGAGGUACGGUCGGUCGAGACGUUAGUAACGUUACGAAGUAGAAGUUAGACGGCGUUGAGACGNGCCGACGGACGACGACGAGGGAGGAGG
RNAcentral lists this ribosomal RNA (632 nucleotides) under uncultured bacterium. RNAcentral describes it as "bacterial SSU rRNA". The stretch from base 1 to 538 matches the Rfam family "Bacterial small subunit ribosomal RNA", at positions 338 to 873 of the family's 1533-position model. The record is from RNAcentral.